GACGAACGCUGGCGGCGUGCUUAACACAUGCAAGUCGAACGGAAAGGCCCUGCUUUUGUGGGGUGCUCGAGUGGCGAACGGGUGAGUAACACGUGAGUAACCUGCCCUUGACUUUGGGAUAACUUCAGGAAACUGGGGCUAAUACCGGAUAGGAGCUCCUGCUGCAUGGUGGGGGUUGGAAAGUUUCGGCGGUUGGGGAUGGACUCGCGGCUUAUCAGCUUGUUGGUGGGGUAGUGGCUUACCAAGGCUUUGACGGGUAGCCGGCCUGAGAGGGUGACCGGCCACAUUGGGACUGAGAUACGGCCCAGACUCCUACGGGAGGCAGCAGGGGGGAAUAUUGCACAAUGGGCGGAAGCCUGAUGCAGCAACGCCGCGUGCGGGAUGACGGCCUUCGGGUUGUAAACCGCUUUCGCCUGUGACGAAGCGUGAGUGACGGUAAUGGGUAAAGAAGCACCGGCUAACUACGUGCCAGCAGCCGCGGUGAUACGUAGGGUGCGAGCGUUGUCCGGAUUUAUUGGGCGUAAAGGGCUCGUAGGUGGUUGAUCGCGUCGGAAGUGUAAUCUUGGGGCUUAACCCUGAGCGUGCUUUCGAUACGGGUUGACUUGGGGAAGGUAGGGGAGAAUGGAAUUCCUGGUGGAGCGGUGGAAUGCGCAGAUAUCAGGAGGAACACCAGUGGCGAAGGCGGUUCUCUGGGCCUUUCCUGACGCUGAGGAGCGAAAGCGUGGGGAGCGAACAGGCUUAGAUACCCUGGUAGUCCACGCUGUAAACGGUGGGUACUAGGUGUGGGGUCCAUUCCACGGGUUCCGUGCCGUAGCUAGCGCUUUAAGUACCCCGCCUGGGGAGUACGACCGCAAGGCUAAAACUCAAAGGAAUUGACGGGGCCCCGCACAAGCGGCGGAGCAUGCGGAUUAAUUCGAUGCAACGCGUAGAACCUUACCUGGGUUUGACAUGGAUCGGGAGUGCUCAGAGAUGGGUGUGCCUCUUUUGGGGUCGGUUCACAGGUGGUGCAUGGCUGUCGUCAGCUCGUGUCGUGAGAUGUUGGGUUAAGUCCCGCAACGAGCGCAACCCUUGUUCACUGUUGCCAGCACGUUAUGGUGGGGACUCAGUGGAGACCGCCGGGGUCAACUCGGAGGAAGGUGGGGAUGACGUCAAGUCAUCAUGCCCCUUAUGUCCAGGGCUUCACGCAUGCUACAAUGGCUGGUACAGAGAGUGGCGAGCCUGUGAGGGUGAGCGAAUCUCGGAAAGCCGGUCUCAGUUCGGAUUGGGGUCUGCAACUCGACCUCAUGAAGUCGGAGUCGCUAGUAAUCGCAGAUCAGCAACGCUGCGGUGAAUACGUUCCCGGGGCU
This 1346-nucleotide ribosomal RNA is filed under the name uncultured bacterium. RNAcentral's name for it is "partial 16S ribosomal RNA". It matches the Rfam family "Bacterial small subunit ribosomal RNA", at positions 28 to 1381 of the family's 1533-position model. The record is from RNAcentral.